RNAcentral lists this ribosomal RNA (565 nucleotides) under Bifidobacterium pseudolongum subsp. globosum. Its description in RNAcentral is "bacterial SSU rRNA". It matches the Rfam family "Bacterial small subunit ribosomal RNA", at positions 146 to 711 of the family's 1533-position model. Lineage: Bacteria; Bacillati; Actinomycetota; Actinomycetes; Bifidobacteriales; Bifidobacteriaceae. The record is from RNAcentral.
UCUCCUGGAAACGGGUGGUAAUGCCGGAUGUUCCACAUGAGCGCAUGCGAGUGUGGGAAAGGCUUUUUGCGGCAUGGGAUGGGGUCGCGUCCUAUCAGCUUGUUGGUGGGGUAACGGCCUACCAAGGCGUUGACGGGUAGCCGGCCUGAGAGGGCGACCGGCCACAUUGGGACUGAGAUACGGCCCAGACUCCUACGGGAGGCAGCAGUGGGGAAUAUUGCACAAUGGGCGCAAGCCUGAUGCAGCGACGCCGCGUGCGGGAUGGAGGCCUUCGGGUUGUAAACCGCUUUUGUUCAAGGGCAAGGCACGGUUUUUGGCCGUGUUGAGUGGAUUGUUCGAAUAAGCACCGGCUAACUACGUGCCAGCAGCCGCGGUAAUACGUAGGGUGCAAGCGUUAUCCGGAUUUAUUGGGCGUAAAGGGCUCGUAGGCGGUUCGUCGCGUCCGGUGUGAAAGUCCAUCGCUUAACGGUGGAUCCGCGCCGGGUACGGGCGGGCUUGAGUGCGGUAGGGGAGACUGGAAUUCCCGGUGUAACGGUGGAAUGUGUAGAUAUCGGGAAGAACACCA